AAAACGUUAAAAAGGGAUACUCUAGAGCCUUCUUGCUCCAGCUGGAAACCAAUAAAUAAACCCCUUUGAAAGAAACAAACGUCAUAAAUUAAUUAUCAUCCAUCAAAUCAUCGGCUGACCGUUUCAAAAACCCCAAAAAAACUUUCUUAAGUGCUUCACCUUUCUUUAAUGCUCUCCCAAAAGGCAGAUUUCAAAAAGCAAAUUCUUCUUCUUCGUCAACCCUCCGUCCUCUCAGUACACCCAUGCUCUCCGUCCUCCUUUAGUCCUCAGCCACCAGACCCGCCGCUCCAGACGGUACCAAAUUCUCCAGAUAAGUUGAUUCCCUCCGUAUUAUUCCUUCAGAUGCAAUUAUAUGCACAAUCUUAUUAGCUUCUCUAUUUGUAAAAAGGAAAACAUAAGUCUGAAAACCUAAACUUAGGUUUUUAGAGUCCUUAAUAAAUGCAGUAAUCUAAGAUCUAUCCUCUUGCUGCUCUUGUAACUUACGAAUCACCGACCGCGAAUCCCCCUCGAUCUCCACCUCUCUCAAACCAAGGUGUAAGCCAAGUUGUUCUGCAGCAAAGACAGACGGUAUGUUUGAAUUCAUUACUAUUUUUGAGCAAAGAACAUCAGCUUUAGCAUUUCGGAUAAUUAACCUAGAACACGAUUCUUUUCUAUGUUUGUUGAAAGCGGCGUCAAAAUUAAUUUUAAGUCUCGUUCCUACUGGAGCAACCCAUCUCACUACACGGAGCCGAUCUACAGGUAGAGAUGUUCUUAACCCAUCUAGUUCCUAUAUAAAAUUUUUUACAAAAACCACAAUUUGAGCACCCGUUUUAACUUCACGUUCAUGGAUAUAUCUGUUUCUGGAAGUCCAAAUCGCCCAUAGUGCACAUGCUAUGACUCUGCAAGUAGCCGUAGAUCUGGAUUCAAAAAUAAGUUUUAACCACUCUCUGAAAUCAGUAAUUUCAUCUGAACGAGACCAGCUUAUACUCAAGGACUCCCAUGUUUCCUUUGCUGUAGGACACUCGUGGAACAAAUGUUCCCUCGUUUCCACUUCAUUUUGGCACCGACUACAAGUGGCAAAACCCCUCAAUCUCCGGUAGUGUAGAUUACUGAAAAUAGGCAGAAAGUUUCGCGAAAAUUGCCAAAUUGUAAUCUUUAUUUUAAAGGGUAGAUCUAGAUUCCACAAUUUUUUUUUAAAAUUGUUUGUAAUUUGCUUGUAAGUCAUUCUAAUCAUCAUGUAAAAGGAUUUUAUGACCACUUCGAACCGAAAAUUCCCCAAUCAGCUCACCUUGUCAAAUGACAAAGUAUUCGUGCUCAUUCAACGACAAGGGAAUACAGAGAAUCCUCUCUGCGUCCUGCUUUGAAAAGGUAUUAUAGAUGUAACACCCCGAAUCGUGGCCGUUAUCGGGGUCAAACACGAGGUGUUAUCGGCCUUAAUUCAUCACUUAUACAGCUCAAACAAUUUAUUUUAAAACUCCUAGACAAGCUGUCAAUCUGCGUUAUAAUGACUUAAAAAUUCGUAUCUUGAGUUUCGAAACUCGAAAUCAAAUUUCGUAAUUUUUUCUUGAACUUAGACUCAUAUAUAUAUCUAAUAAAAUUUUUGUAGAAUU
Molecule: long non-coding RNA, 1589 nt
Filed under: Gossypium barbadense (sea-island cotton)
Lineage: Eukaryota; Viridiplantae; Streptophyta; Magnoliopsida; Malvales; Malvaceae
Description: long non-coding RNA (GBAR_LNC000777)
Source: RNAcentral